AUUAUAUUAUAAAUUUAAUUUUCAUUUUAUAUUUUCUUAUUUUUUUAUAGAAAUAACUUUCUUUUUAGUAUUUUUUAAAGAAUCAAUAUUUUUAUAUAUUUAUAGUUUAUUUUUACUGUAAAGGUAUAUUCUUAAUAUUAUGGAAGUAGAAUUUAAUUUUUGUACCUUUUGUAUCAGGGUUUAUUAAUAAAAAGUUAAUUAUUAUUUAGAUUUCCCGAAUUUAAAGGAGAUAUUAAUAAUUGUUAGUUAAUGUUUUAUAAUUAUUAAUAAAUUAUUAAUAGGUGUUAUAUGCUAUUCAUCUUUAAUUAUCUGGUUUCUUAAUAGAUGAAUUUAAUUCAGAAUUAAUUUAAUUAUAAUUUAUUAAUGUAUUUUUGUUAUAAUUGAUUAAUUUAAUAUUCAAAGGGAUAAGCUUUUGAAUAAUUCUAUAAUUAUGGUUGAGUUAAUUAAAUUAAGUAGGAUUAGAAAUUUUCAUCAUUUAUUUUGUUAUAAUUAAGUUUUAUUUUUAUUUUAUUUAAUUAUUAUUUAGAUUCUUAUUAAGGAUUAUUAGUGAAUUAUUAAUUAAUAGAUAUUAUGAUAAAAUUAGUAAGUAAUGGUUAAUUAAUAUAUAGUAAUUCGGCAAAUUUAUUCUUCACCUGUUUAACAAAAACAUGUCUUAAUGUAUUUUAUAUUAAGUUUAGCCUGCUCAAUGAUUAUAAAUUAAAUAGCCGCAGUAUUUUGACUGUGCGAAGGUAGCAUAAUCAUUUGUCUUUUAAUUGAAGGCUUGUAUGAAUGGCUGGAUGAGGGAAUUGCUUUCUUUAUAUUAUUUAUUGAAUUUAAUUUCUAGGUUAAAAAGCUUAGAUAAAUAAAUGGGACGAGAAGACCCUGUAGAAUUUAACUUUUAUAUUAAUAUUUAUUUUUUUGGUUAAUAAUCAAUUUUAUUAUUUGUAAAGUUUUGUUGGGGUGACAGUGAGAUUUAUUUAACUCUCAUAAUUUAACUUUUAUUUAUUUAUAUAUUUAUUGAUCCUAUAUUAAGGAUAAUUAGAUUAAAUUACCUUAGGGAUAACAGCGUAAUUUUUCUGGAGAGUUCUUAUCGAUGGAGAAGUUUGCGACCUCGAUGUUGGAUUAAAAUUAGAUUUAAGUGCAGAAGCUUAAUUUCUAGGUCUGUUCGACCUUUAAAAUUUUACAUGAUCUGAGUUCAGACCGGCGUGAGCCAGGUCGGUUUCUAUCUUUUUAUAAAUAUUGUGGAUUAGUACGAAAGGACCAUUUACAUCAAAUAUUUUGUAUUUAUUUGAAUAAUUUU
This 1279-nucleotide ribosomal RNA is filed under the name Menida musiva. RNAcentral describes it as "16S ribosomal RNA". The stretch from base 848 to 1207 matches the Rfam family "Archaeal large subunit ribosomal RNA", at positions 2154 to 2712 of the family's 2987-position model. Lineage: Eukaryota; Metazoa; Arthropoda; Insecta; Hemiptera; Pentatomidae. The record is from RNAcentral.